RNAcentral lists this ribosomal RNA (478 nucleotides) under uncultured bacterium. Its description in RNAcentral is "partial 16S ribosomal RNA". It matches the Rfam family "Bacterial small subunit ribosomal RNA", at positions 28 to 523 of the family's 1533-position model. The record is from RNAcentral.
GACGAACGCUGGCGGCGUGCUUAACGCAUGCAAGUCGAACGGUAAGGCCCUUCGGGGUACACGAGUGGCGAACGGGUGAGUAACACGUGGGUGAUCUGCCCUGCACUUCGGGAUAAGCCUGGGAAACUGGGUCUAAUACCGGAUAGGACCACUGCCUGCAUGGGUGGUGGUGGAAAGCUUUUGCGGUGUGGGAUGGGCCCGCGGCCUAUCAGCGUGUUGGUGGGGUGAUGGCCUACCAAGGCGACGACGGGUAGCCGGCCUGAGAGGGUGACCGGCCACACUGGGACUGAGAUACGGACCAGACUCCUACGGGAGGCAGCAGUGGGGAAUAUUGCACAAUGGGCGCAAGCCUGAUGCAGCGACGCCGCGUGAGGGAUGACGGCCUUCGGGUUGUAAACCUCUUUCAGCACCGACGAAGCGCAAGUGACGGUAGGUGCAGAAGAAGGACCGGCCAACUACGUGCCAGCCGCCGCCGUAA